CGCCACUCAGUUUACUGGUAAUCUCAUUAAUAGAUUUGUGGCACGGUGUGGGUGAGAAUUUCACCUCACAGCUGGCAGUGGUGUGUGACACAGUUUAUUGCAGACCAUACUUGAGUGUGCAUGGAGCCAGCAGUCAGUGCAGCGAGGCAGUCAAGGACAGCAACAAUCACUUUCCUGCAUACAAGUUGUUAAAACAAGUCAAAGGCAGAACAGCAUCUACAGUGACAAAGAGUGAAGAAAAGACAGGCUGCAAUGAGGCACCACUGCAGACAAUUAUUCUUGGUGCUAAACGUUUUGGGUAAAAUAAACUCAUUGUCUCUGUGGAAAGGAGGGCUGCCCCAUAACUAAGGUGUCAUACACCUCUGAAGAUCUAUAUGUCCCUUGUUAUUCUGUCACAGACUGUCUCUGUGACCUCUGGCAUGUCAUUUAAGGCCAAGAUUCUCACAGAUUUCAUACGCUGCCUUCACCGAACUCCAGUGCUGGCUGGACCAUCAGGCCCGUUUUUUGCUGUUUGUCCAGAUUGUUUAUGAAGACCAGAAUUGCACUUGCUCUUUGACCAAAAGAUUCAUAUUAACAGAUUUUAAAAUCCUUAAAAGGAUGGCAACACUGAAGAGAGCAGGUGCUAUACCUUUUCCCCCAAACUUCUGUGGACACAAAGAACAGAUUCUUUCCUUCUUCACAACAUCUGCUCUGCAUAUGUGAAGUCUAGUCCCUCUCUGUAUGGGUGAGGGAUGGCUAACUCAACUGAGGAUCCAAUUGGAGGUUUUUUAUCCAUAAGAUUGCCACAACAGCCUACUGACACUUCCGCUACCAAUUCUGCAGCAGGUUGGUCUGAGACUGCUGUCCCAUGGCUGUGCAAUGAAAUCCCUUACUACUGUGGUAUCAGUCCAUCCAUUAAAAAGUGCUACAGAAUUUGCACCCCAGAUGUUUUUAGAUUCAUGCAGCACCAACCACUUGAAAAAAAUUUCCUCUGAAGACUGCUAUCAGCACAGAAACAACUGUAGCUUAAUCACGGUUUUAUUUGAAAAAGAAGAACACAUAUUUACUUUGAUAAUAUUUUUGAGUUCCUGAAGGCCAGAUCCUGUUCCCACUGGUAUCUGUGGCAAAACUCCCAUUAACUUCAAUGGCAACAAAAGCAGUCACUUAGUUUGCAUAAUCUGCAGAAAGUAAAUAUUUUAACAAUUAUUAUCUGUGUUAUUUAAGUAGCUAAUAAAAAUGUGCAUUUAAAACUGUUUCA
This 1237-nucleotide long non-coding RNA is filed under the name Anas platyrhynchos platyrhynchos (common mallard). RNAcentral describes it as "lncRNA (ENSAPLG00000024119.1)". The record is from RNAcentral. Lineage: Eukaryota; Metazoa; Chordata; Aves; Anseriformes; Anatidae.